UACGGGGGGGGCAAGCGUUGUUCGGAAUUACUGGGCGUAAAGGGUUUGUAGGUGGCUUGUUAAGUCAGACGUGAAAUCCCUCAGCUUAACUGGGGAACUGCGUCUGAUACUGGCGAGCUUGAGUGCAGGAGAGGAACGCGGAAUUCCAGGUGUAGCGGUGAAAUGCGCAGAUAUCAGGAGGAACACCUGUGGCGAAAGCGGCUCACUGGACCACAACUGACGCUGAGGAGCGAAAGCGUGGGGAGCGAACAGG
RNAcentral lists this ribosomal RNA (253 nucleotides) under uncultured bacterium. RNAcentral's name for it is "partial 16S ribosomal RNA". It matches the Rfam family "Bacterial small subunit ribosomal RNA", at positions 524 to 776 of the family's 1533-position model. The record is from RNAcentral.